Molecule: long non-coding RNA, 1862 nt
Filed under: Marmota monax (woodchuck)
Lineage: Eukaryota; Metazoa; Chordata; Mammalia; Rodentia; Sciuridae
Source: RNAcentral
UGGGUUUGAUCCUCAGCACCACAUGUGAAUAAACAAAUAAAAUAAAGGUAUAUGUCCAUCUACAACUAAAAAAAAAAUUUAAAACUAGAUUGUAUAAUUUUAAAUAGAUAUUUAUGCUCCAAAUACUUUUCAAAGCUGAAAGCUCAUUAGAAAUCACAAAUAUGUUAUCUUUUUCCUUUUGCCAAAAUAAAAUUGAGGCCAGUCAUUAAUGUAGCUAGGAAAGGAAUUUGUUUUCCAGAAUUAGUAUUAUUAUUCAUUUUAAGCAUGAUCACAACCUAUUCUGAGUUUAUAAACUACUUCCACUUACCACCUUCAUGCAAGAUACAUUAUCUUAGUAUAGCAUUCGUGACUAACAUUAGGUCAAUUUAUUGAAAAAUGCAAAUAUCUGUUCACUAAAAGCUAUUAAAAAAAGAAAUUAAAGAACAUCCAAAUAAAUGGGGAGAGAUAACAUGUUAACAGAAUGGAAAACUCAAAUAUUGUUAAGAUGUCACUUCUCUCCAAACUUGAUAUACAGUGUUAACUUAAUACCGAUCAGAACUUUAACAUUUUUUGAGUAGAAAUUAUUAAAUGUAUCCUAAAACGUAUUUUUAAAAUCUUUUUUAAUAUUUGUUUUAGUUGUUGGUGGACACAAUAACCUUUAUUUUAUUUUUAUGUGGUGCUAAGGAUUGAACCCAGUUUCUCCCUCACAAGUCUAGGCAAGCGCUCUACCACUUAGCCAAAACCCCAACCCCUAAAAUACAUUUAAAUGACUAGAAUAUUCAGUGCAUACUUUCUGAAAAACAAAGUUGGAUAUCUUUGGAUAUGAUAUCAAGAUUUACUAUAAUGUAUAUAUGUACUAAUCAAGACAGUGUAGUAUUGAUAAAAGGUUAGGGAUAUAAAUCAGUAGAACAGAAUAGAAACAAUUCAGAUAAAGUUAAUUAAUUUUUCACAAGGUGACAAGGCAUUUUUUGGGAAAAGGGAAACCUUUUUAAUAAAUGAGAAUAGUGGAUAUUAUAUAUGAAGGAAAAAAUGAACCAAACAUAAAAUUUAAUGAUAAAAAUCUGACAGAAAAAUCUAAGCACCUAGGGACAGGCUAGAUUUCUAAGGUCAUUAGAAACCAUAAAAAUAAAAGUAACAUAAAAAUAAAAGUUGGAACUCCAUCAAAAUGAAAAACUUUCUUUCUUUGGAACAUAGUAUGAAAAGAAAAAUAAGCCCAGAGUAGGAGACAAUACUUAAUUUACUUAUAUCUUGACAAAGGAGUCACAUCAAGAAAAAGAACUUUUAAAACUCAGUAAUAAGAUAACCCAACAAAGAAUGGCAAAGGAUUUGAAUAGACAAUCACAGACAAAGAAAUGAAUAGCUAUUGAAAAUAUAAUCAGCAUUAAUAAUUAUCAGGGAAAUGCAAAUUAAAGACAGUAUCAAGUAUAGAUAAUGAUGUACAGCAGAUGGAACUUUCCUGUUACUAAUGAGAAAGUAAAAUAGUGCAACCAUUUUAGAACACUGGCAUUCUUUCACAAUUAAAUAUGCAAUUACCCAAGGUAUUUACCUCAGGAAUAUGAAAACAUUUAUUGAUAUAGAAGCUUAUACAACUGUUUGUGGCUUUCUGCAUAAAAGCCCAAUCUGGAAAUAGCUCAGAUAUCCAUGAAUAGAAGAAUAAUCAAAUUUUGCUGUAUCUGUAUAAAAAAACAAUAAACAGUAAUGAAAUUAACCACUGAUAGAUGCAACAAGAUUGAUGGAUCUUAAAAAUGUUCUAAAUAAAUCAGACACAAAGAGUUCAUAUUUUAUGACUCAAAAUUAAUACAUUCUUGAAUAAGAAAAAGUAUAUUUAUGAAAAAAAUCAAUGGUUUUCUGGGACCAGAAGUAGAUCUGGGAACUGACUAUAA